RNAcentral lists this ribosomal RNA (1448 nucleotides) under Klebsiella pneumoniae. Its description in RNAcentral is "bacterial SSU rRNA". It matches the Rfam family "Bacterial small subunit ribosomal RNA". Lineage: Bacteria; Pseudomonadati; Pseudomonadota; Gammaproteobacteria; Enterobacterales; Enterobacteriaceae. The record is from RNAcentral.
AGAGUUUGAUCAUGGCUCAGAUUGAACGCUGGCGGCAGGCCUAACACAUGCAAGUCGAGCGGUAGCACAGAGAGCUUGCUCUCGGGUGACGAGCGGCGGACGGGUGAGUAAUGUCUGGGAAACUGCCUGAUGGAGGGGGAUAACUACUGGAAACGGUAGCUAAUACCGCAUAACGUCGCAAGACCAAAGUGGGGGACCUUCGGGCCUCAUGCCAUCAGAUGUGCCCAGAUGGGAUUAGCUAGUAGGUGGGGUAACGGCUCACCUAGGCGACGAUCCCUAGCUGGUCUGAGAGGAUGACCAGCCACACUGGAACUGAGACACGGUCCAGACUCCUACGGGAGGCAGCAGUGGGGAAUAUUGCACAAUGGGCGCAAGCCUGAUGCAGCCAUGCCGCGUGUGUGAAGAAGGCCUUCGGGUUGUAAAGCACUUUCAGCGGGGAGGAAGGCGGUAAGGUUAAUAACCUUGGCGAUUGACGUUACCCGCAGAAGAAGCACCGGCUAACUCCGUGCCAGCAGCCGCGGUAAUACGGAGGGUGCAAGCGUUAAUCGGAAUUACUGGGCGUAAAGCGCACGCAGGCGGUCUGUCAAGUCGGAUGUGAAAUCCCCGGGCUCAACCUGGGAACUGCAUUCGAAACUGGCAGGCUAGAGUCUUGUAGAGGGGGGUAGAAUUCCAGGUGUAGCGGUGAAAUGCGUAGAGAUCUGGAGGAAUACCGGUGGCGAAGGCGGCCCCCUGGACAAAGACUGACGCUCAGGUGCGAAAGCGUGGGGAGCAAACAGGAUUAGAUACCCUGGUAGUCCACGCCGUAAACGAUGUCGAUUUGGAGGUUGUGCCCUUGAGGCGUGGCUUCCGGAGCUAACGCGUUAAAUCGACCGCCUGGGGAGUACGGCCGCAAGGUUAAAACUCAAAUGAAUUGACGGGGGCCCGCACAAGCGGUGGAGCAUGUGGUUUAAUUCGAUGCAACGCGAAGAACCUUACCUGGUCUUGACAUCCACAGAACUUUCCAGAGAUGGAUUGGUGCCUUCGGGAACUGUGAGACAGGUGCUGCAUGGCUGUCGUCAGCUCGUGUUGUGAAAUGUUGGGUUAAGUCCCGCAACGAGCGCAACCCUUAUCCUUUGUUGCCAGCGGUUAGGCCGGGAACUCAAAGGAGACUGCCAGUGAUAAACUGGAGGAAGGUGGGGAUGACGUCAAGUCAUCAUGGCCCUUACGACCAGGGCUACACACGUGCUACAAUGGCAUAUACAAAGAGAAGCGACCUCGCGAGAGCAAGCGGACCUCAUAAAGUAUGUCGUAGUCCGGAUUGGAGUCUGCAACUCGACUCCAUGAAGUCGGAAUCGCUAGUAAUCGUAGAUCAGAAUGCUACGGUGAAUACGUUCCCGGGCCUUGUACACACCGCCCGUCACACCAUGGGAGUGGGUUGCAAAAGAAGUAGGUAGCUUAACCUUCGGGAG